This 253-nucleotide ribosomal RNA is filed under the name uncultured bacterium. RNAcentral describes it as "partial 16S ribosomal RNA". It matches the Rfam family "Bacterial small subunit ribosomal RNA", at positions 524 to 776 of the family's 1533-position model. The record is from RNAcentral.
UACAGAGGUCCCAAGCGUUGUUCGGAUUCAUUGGGCGUAAAGGGUGCGUAGGCGGCGCGGUAAGUCGGGUGUGAAAUCUCGGAGCUUAACUCCGAAACUGCAUUCGAUACUGCCGUGCUUGAGGACUGGAGAGGAGACUGGAAUUUACGGUGUAGCGGUGAAAUGCGUAGAGAUCCGGAGGAACCCCAGAGGCGAAGGCGGCGUCCUGGCCCAUUUCUGACGUUCAGACAUGACAGCAUGGGGAGCGAACGGG